CAGUCGAACGACUCUGGUAUUGAUUGGUGCUUGCAUCAUGAUUUACAUUUGAGUGAGUGGCGAACUGGUGAGUAACACGUGGGAAACCUGCCCAGAAGCGGGGGAUAACACCUGGAAACAGAUGCUAAUACCGCAUAACAACUUGGACCGCAUGGUCCGAGCUUGAAAGAUGGCUUCGGCUAUCACUUUUGGAUGGUCCCGCGGCGUAUUAGCUAGAUGGUGGGGUAACGGCUCACCAUGGCAAUGAUACGUAGCCGACCUGAGAGGGUAAUCGGCCACAUUGGGACUGAGACACGGCCCAAACUCCUACGGGAGGCAGCAGUAGGGAAUCUUCCACAAUGGACGAAAGUCUGAUGGAGCAACGCCGCGUGAGUGAAGAAGGGUUUCGGCUCGUAAAACUCUGUUGUUAAAGAAGAACAUAUCUGAGAGUAACUGUUCAGGUAUUGACGGUAUUUAACCAGAAAGCCACGGCUAACUACGUGCCAGCAGCCGCGGUAAUACGUAGGUGGCAAGCGUUGUCCGGAUUUAUUGGGCGUAAAGCGAGCGCAGGCGGUUUUUUAAGUCUGAUGUGAAAGCCUUCGGCUCAACCGAAGAAGUGCAUCGGAAACUGGGAAACUUGAGUGCAGAAGAGGACAGUGGAACUCCAUGUGUAGCGGUGAAAUGCGUAGAUAUAUGGAAGAACACCAGUGGCGAAGGCGGCUGUCUGGUCUGUAACUGACGCUGAGGCUCGAAAGUAUGGGUAGCAAACAGGAUUAGAUACCCUGGUAGUCCAUACCGUAAACGAUGAAUGCUAAGUGUUGGAGGGUUUCCGCCCUUCAGUGCUGCAGCUAACGCAUUAAGCAUUCCGCCUGGGGAGUACGGCCGCAAGGCUGAAACUCAAAGGAAUUGACGGGGGCCCGCACAAGCGGUGGAGCAUGUGGUUUAAUUCGAAGCUACGCGAAGAACCUUACCAGGUCUUGACAUACUAUGCAAAUCUAAGAGAUUAGACGUUCCCUUCGGGGACAUGGAUACAGGUGGUGCAUGGUUGUCGUCAGCUCGUGUCGUGAGAUGUUGGGUUAAGUCCCGCAACGAGCGCAACCCUUAUUAUCAGUUGCCAGCAUUAAGUUGGGCACUCUGGUGAGACUGCCGGUGACAAACCGGAGGAAGGUGGGGAUGACGUCAAAUCAUCAUGCCCCUUAUGACCUGGGCUACACACGUGCUACAAUGGAUGGUACAACGAGUUGCGAACUCGCGAGAGUAAGCUAAUCUCUUAAAGCCAUUCUCAGUUCGGAUUGUAGGCUGCAACUCGCCUACAUGAAGUCGGAAUCGCUAGUAAUCGCGGAUCAGCAUGCCGCGGUGAAUACGUUCCCGGGCCUUGUACACACCGCCCGUCACACCAUGAGAGUUUGUAACACCCAAAGUCGGUGGGGU
This 1410-nucleotide ribosomal RNA is filed under the name Lactiplantibacillus plantarum. RNAcentral describes it as "bacterial SSU rRNA". It matches the Rfam family "Bacterial small subunit ribosomal RNA", at positions 59 to 1436 of the family's 1533-position model. The record is from RNAcentral. Lineage: Bacteria; Bacillati; Bacillota; Bacilli; Lactobacillales; Lactobacillaceae.